RNAcentral lists this ribosomal RNA (207 nucleotides) under uncultured bacterium. RNAcentral's name for it is "partial 16S ribosomal RNA". It matches the Rfam family "Bacterial small subunit ribosomal RNA", at positions 568 to 774 of the family's 1533-position model. The record is from RNAcentral.
AGUGCAGGCGGUUUUUUAAGUCUGAUGUGAAAGCCCUCGGCUUAACCGAGGAAGUGCAUCGGAAACUGGGAAACUUGAGUGCAGAAGAGGACAGUGGAACUCCAUGUGUAGCGGUGAAAUGCGUAGAUAUAUGGAAGAACACCAGUGGCGAAGGCGGCUGUCUGGUCUGUAACUGACGCUGAGGCUCGAAAGCAUGGGUAGCGAACA